This 251-nucleotide ribosomal RNA is filed under the name uncultured prokaryote. Its description in RNAcentral is "partial 16S rRNA". It matches the Rfam family "Bacterial small subunit ribosomal RNA", at positions 525 to 775 of the family's 1533-position model. The record is from RNAcentral.
ACGUAGGGGGCGAGCGUUGUCCGGAAUUAUUGGGCGUAAAGCGCGCGCAGGCGGUUCCUUAAGUCUGAUGUGAAAGCCCACGGCUCAACCGUGGAGGGUCAUUGGAAACUGGGGGACUUGAGUGCAGGAGAGGAGAGCGGAAUUCCACGUGUAGCGGUGAAAUGCGUAGAGAUGUGGAGGAACACCAGUGGCGAAGGCGGCUCUCUGGCCUGCAACUGACGCUGAGGCGCGAAAGCGUGGGGAGCAAACAG